UACGUAGGUGGCGAGCGUUGUCCGGAAUCACUGGGCGUAAAGGGCGCGUAGGCGGCGCUUCAAGUCGCAUGUGAAGGACCAGGGCUUAACUCUGGGGGGUCAUGCGAAACUGGAGUGCUUGAGUGCAGUAGAGGUAAGCGGAAUUCCUGGUGUAGCGGUAAAAUGCGUAGAGAUCAGGAGGAACACCGGUGGCGAAGGCGGCUUACUGGGCUGUAACUGACGCUGAUGCGCGAAAGCGUGGGGAG
This 245-nucleotide ribosomal RNA is filed under the name uncultured bacterium. Its description in RNAcentral is "partial 16S ribosomal RNA". It matches the Rfam family "Bacterial small subunit ribosomal RNA", at positions 524 to 768 of the family's 1533-position model. The record is from RNAcentral.